RNAcentral lists this ribosomal RNA (254 nucleotides) under uncultured bacterium. RNAcentral's name for it is "partial 16S ribosomal RNA". It matches the Rfam family "Bacterial small subunit ribosomal RNA", at positions 524 to 776 of the family's 1533-position model. The record is from RNAcentral.
UACGUAGGGUGCGAGCGUUGUCCGGAAUUAUUGGGCGUAAAGAGCUCGUAGGCGGUCUGUCGCGUCGGUCGUGAAAACCUGCAGCUUAACUGUGGGCGUGCGGUCGAUACGGGCAUGACUGGAGUUCGGCAGGGGAGACUGGAAUUCCUGGUGUAGCGGUGAAAUGCGCAGAUAUCAGGAGGAACACCGAUGGCGAAGGCAGGUCUCUGGGCAUUAACUGACGCUGAGGAGCGAAAGCAUGAGGAGCGAACAGG